AUGCCUGAGAAGGUCAAGCAGACAGAGACUAAAACAACAGAAGUUGGGUUAAUAAAGGCCAAACCGAAAGUUAAGGAGGAGAAAGCACUUCAGACUGUAACUAAAUCAGAAAAGAAAGAUCAAUAUGCAUUCUGUCGCUAUGUGAUUGACAUGUUUGCGCAAGGGGAUUUUUAUCCAGGACAUAAGGAAAUGGCAUCACCUCGUCUUCUUCUAGAACAUAGUCCAAGAAAGAAAACAGCAGCUAUUGAAGAAGAGAAGUCUAUUGUGGUAACUAAGGAAGUGAAAAAAAGAAAGGAUGAAAAGAAAAGGACUGAUAUAAGGAGGUCUGUUACUGAAACUAAGAAGAAAGAAAAAGAAGGAAAAAAAGAGAAAGCUCAUGAGAAGACAGCUGUCCCUGAAAUUAAAAAAGCAGAGCCAGCAAAAGACCCUGCAGCUAAUCCAUCCACCAAAAAAGCAGUAACACCAGAAACACAUAGGAAAGAAAAAAUGGUGGAUACUGCCAAAACAGCAAAGAAAGAAGCAAAAGUACAUGCAUCUGUGGAAACUCUGAAGUCAAAAGCAGCACCUGAAAAGAAGGAAGAAAAAGCAAUGAAGGCAGGAGAGCAAGAUCCUGGAAAAGACAAAGAAUUGAAAUCUCCAGCGGCUACAAAAGAUAAAGAACACACUAAAGAAAAGGAAGGAAAGAAUCCUAUAGCUUUAAAAGAUAAAGAGUCUCUGAAAGGAAAAAAUCCCAAGAAUCCAGAGGGGUCAAAGGAAAAAGAGACUGGUAAAAGAAAAGAUGUGAGGCCUCCGGCAGUCUUAAAGGAAAAGGACUCCUCAAAGGGAAAAGAAAUGAAGCUUUCACCUACAACUAAGGAGAAAGCUGCGGUGAAAAAGGAAGGGGAGAAGAAAGGUAAAUCAAUUAUUUUCCCUUGUCUGAAGUGUCUUUCAGGCUCUGACUGCUGUGAGAAAUGUUUCUUUCAUUCAGUGAUACAAUUGCAAUGA
Molecule: long non-coding RNA, 984 nt
Filed under: Anser cygnoides (Swan goose)
Lineage: Eukaryota; Metazoa; Chordata; Aves; Anseriformes; Anatidae
Description: lncRNA (ENSACDG00005013546.1)
Source: RNAcentral